GGGGAUUUAGCUCAGUGGUAGAGCACUUGCCUUGCAAGCACAAGGCCCUGGGUUCAGUCCCCAGCUCCG
RNAcentral lists this transfer RNA (69 nucleotides) under Rattus norvegicus (Norway rat). It matches the Rfam family "tRNA". From Rfam's summary of the family: Transfer RNA (tRNA) molecules are approximately 80 nucleotides in length. The record is from Rfam by way of RNAcentral. Lineage: Eukaryota; Metazoa; Chordata; Mammalia; Rodentia; Muridae.